RNAcentral lists this ribosomal RNA (350 nucleotides) under uncultured Microbacterium sp. RNAcentral describes it as "bacterial SSU rRNA". It matches the Rfam family "Bacterial small subunit ribosomal RNA", at positions 790 to 1138 of the family's 1533-position model. Lineage: Bacteria; Bacillati; Actinomycetota; Actinomycetes; Micrococcales; Microbacteriaceae. The record is from RNAcentral.
GUAGUCCACCCCGUAAACGUUGGGAACUAGUUGUGGGGUCCAUUCCACGGAUUCCGUGACGCAGCUAACGCAUUAAGUUCCCCGCCUGGGGAGUACGGCCGCAAGGCUAAAACUCAAAGGAAUUGACGGGGACCCGCACAAGCGGCGGAGCAUGCGGAUUAAUUCGAUGCAACGCGAAGAACCUUACCAAGGCUUGACAUAUACGAGAACGGGCUAGAAAUAGUCAACUCUUUGGACACUCGUAAACAGGUGGUGCAUGGUUGUCGUCAGCUCGUGUCGUGAGAUGUUGGGUUAAGUCCCGCAACGAGCGCAACCCUCGUUCUAUGUUGCCAGCACGUAAUGGUGGGAAC